GACGAUUCCUACGGGAGGCGGCGGUGGGGAAUAUUGCACAAUGGGCGAAAGCCUGAUGCAGCAACGCCGCGUGAGUGAUGACGGUCUUCGGAUUGUAAAGCUCUGUCUUUUGGGACGAUUAUGACGGUACCGAAGGAGGAAGCCGCGGCUAACUACCUGCCGGCGGCCGCGGUAAU
This 176-nucleotide ribosomal RNA is filed under the name Clostridium sp. enrichment culture DGGE gel band gz-30d-6. RNAcentral describes it as "partial 16S ribosomal RNA". It matches the Rfam family "Bacterial small subunit ribosomal RNA", at positions 331 to 524 of the family's 1533-position model. Lineage: Bacteria; Bacillati; Bacillota; Clostridia; Eubacteriales; Clostridiaceae. The record is from RNAcentral.